GCACCGUUAGCUCAGUUGGUAGAGCAACUGACUCUUAAUCAGUGGGUCCAGAGUUCGAGCCUCUGACGGUGUA
This 73-nucleotide transfer RNA is filed under the name Bacteroidaceae bacterium. RNAcentral's name for it is "tRNA-Lys". It matches the Rfam family "tRNA". From Rfam's summary of the family: Transfer RNA (tRNA) molecules are approximately 80 nucleotides in length. Their secondary structure includes four short double-helical elements and three loops (D, anti-codon, and T loops). The record is from RNAcentral. Lineage: Bacteria; Pseudomonadati; Bacteroidota; Bacteroidia; Bacteroidales; Bacteroidaceae.